RNAcentral lists this ribosomal RNA (496 nucleotides) under uncultured bacterium. Its description in RNAcentral is "partial 16S ribosomal RNA". It matches the Rfam family "Bacterial small subunit ribosomal RNA", at positions 28 to 506 of the family's 1533-position model. The record is from RNAcentral.
GAUGAACGCUGGCGGCGUGCCUAAUACAUGCAAGUCGAGCGAACGGACGAGAAGCUUGCUUCUCUGAUGUUAGCGGCGGACGGGUGAGUAACACGUGGAUAACCUACCUAUAAGACUGGGAUAACUUCGGGAAACCGGAGCUAAUACCGGAUAAUAUUUUGAACCGCAUGGUUCAAAAGUGAAAGACGGUCUUGCUGUCACUUAUAGAUGGAUCCGCGCUGCAUUAGCUAGUUGGUAAGGUAACGGCUUACCAAGGCAACGAUGCAUAGCCGACCUGAGAGGGUGAUCGGCCACACUGGAACUGAGACACGGUCCAGACUCCUACGGGAGGCAGCAGGAGGGAAUCUUCCGCAAUGGGCGAAAGCCUGACGGAGCAACGCCGCGUGAGUGAUGAAGGUCUUCGGAUCGUAAAACUCUGUUAUUAGGGAAGAACAUAUGUGUAAGUAACUGUGCACAUCUGGACGGUACCUAAUCAGAAAGCCACGGCUAACUACGU